GACGAACGCUGGCGGCGUGCUUAACACAUGCAAGUCGAGCGAUGAAAUCCCUUCGGGGAUGGAUUAGCGGCGGACGGGUGAGUAACACGUGGGCAACCUGCCUCAAAGUGGGGGAUAGCCUUCCGAAAGGGAGAUUAAUACCGCAUAACAUUAGUUUUUCACAUGAAUUACUAAUUAAAGGAGUAAUCCGCUUUGAGAUGGGCCCGCGGCGCAUUAGCUAGUUGGUGAGGUAACGGCUCACCAAGGCCAC
This 250-nucleotide ribosomal RNA is filed under the name uncultured bacterium. RNAcentral describes it as "partial 16S ribosomal RNA". It matches the Rfam family "Bacterial small subunit ribosomal RNA", at positions 28 to 277 of the family's 1533-position model. The record is from RNAcentral.